RNAcentral lists this long non-coding RNA (339 nucleotides) under Ananas comosus (pineapple). RNAcentral describes it as "long non-coding RNA (ACOM_LNC025917)". The record is from RNAcentral. Lineage: Eukaryota; Viridiplantae; Streptophyta; Magnoliopsida; Poales; Bromeliaceae.
UUGCGAUGAGGUCUAUUUGAUUGAAGACAGUGGAGGUGAUCCGACUGAAGAAUGGAAAGAAGAAUAAUCGAUGGGAAUAGGCUGAGGAGUUACCUCAGUAGAAAUUGGAUCGAUGGGAGUUGAUUGAACUGAUUUUUCCCCUUCGGCUGAAACCUCAGCCUGUGGAAGUUCUGCCGAAGCUUUUUCGACAGGUGUUGGUGGAGGAGCAGAACGGAUUUUAAUUGCAACAGUCUUACGCCGCUUCUGUUGCGGCGGCUGAGUGGACUGUUUAGAGUCCAUCGAUCGUUUAUCGGAUUGCGGGGCCGAUGAAGUUGAAGUAGGAAUCGGCUGAAAUAAGAC